AGUCGUUUGAGCGACUUAAAAUAGGUUUUAAGCUCAAAGCGCCCCGAUAAUAAUCGGGAGUAACA
RNAcentral lists this ribozyme (65 nucleotides) under Sphingobacterium sp. ML3W. RNAcentral's name for it is "Pistol ribozyme". It matches the Rfam family "Pistol ribozyme". Lineage: Bacteria; Pseudomonadati; Bacteroidota; Sphingobacteriia; Sphingobacteriales; Sphingobacteriaceae. The record is from Rfam by way of RNAcentral.